CAGCAGCCGCGGUAAUACGUAGGGGGCGAGCGUUGUCCGGAAUUACUGGGCGUAAAGGGUGCGUAGGCGGCCCUUUAAGUCGGAUGUGAAAGCCCGCGGCUUAACCGCGGAAUGACAUUCGAAACUGGAGGGCUUGAGUGUCGGAGAGGGUAGUGGAAUUCCCAGUGUAGCGGUGAAAUGCGUAGAUAUUGGGAGGAACACCAGUGGCGAAGGCGACUACCUGGACGAUAACUGACGCUGAGGCACGAAAGCUAGGGGAGCAAACAGGAUUAGAUACCCUGGUAGUCCUAGCCGUAAACGAUGGGUACUAGGUGUGGGUGGUUUCGAUACCAUCCGUGCCGUAGUUAACGCAUUAAGUACCCCGCCUGGGGAGUACGUGCGCAAGCAUGAAACUCAAAGGAAUUGACGG
This 409-nucleotide ribosomal RNA is filed under the name uncultured bacterium. RNAcentral's name for it is "bacterial SSU rRNA". It matches the Rfam family "Bacterial small subunit ribosomal RNA", at positions 509 to 916 of the family's 1533-position model. The record is from RNAcentral.